AGGAGAAUGGCUGAGUUUAGGCGGUGGGUUGUAGCCCUUCUUAUGUGGAAUUUUUCCUCUUCUUCUA
RNAcentral lists this transfer RNA (67 nucleotides) under Myadora brevis. Its description in RNAcentral is "tRNA-Tyr". Lineage: Eukaryota; Metazoa; Mollusca; Bivalvia; Myochamidae. The record is from RNAcentral.